CUGGCGGCACGCCUAAUACAUGCAAGUCGAACGGGGUAGCAAUACCUAGUGGCAGACGGGUGAGUAACAUGUGGGUACCUUCCCUUUGGUGAGGAAUAACACGAGGAAACUUGUGCUAAUACCUCAUAAGUCUUUACGGAGAAAGCUUUAUGCGCCAAUGGAUGGGCCCGCACUUGAUUAGUUUGUUGGUGGGGUAAUGGCCUACCAAGACUUUGAUCAAUAGCUGAUUUGAGAGGAUGAUCAGCCACAUUGGGACUGAGACACGGCCCAAACUCCUACGGGAGGCAGCAGUAGGGAAUCUUGCACAAUGGAGGAAACUCUGAUGCAGCGAUGCCGCGUGAGUGAAGAAGGCCUUUGGGUUGUAAAGCUCUUUCGUCGGGGAAGAA
Molecule: ribosomal RNA, 386 nt
Filed under: uncultured bacterium
Lineage: Bacteria
Description: bacterial SSU rRNA
Rfam family: Bacterial small subunit ribosomal RNA
Source: RNAcentral